UAAACAUUUGUACCUUCAUGUUUAUAAAAGAAAAAAAAAACAAGUAUAUCCUCAACAAUGGAGAUGGAGUUAGCAAACCGUAUCAACUUAGCCCAACAACAACCGCCCGCGUCGCCUACACCCGCCUGCCAACCGACACCAGAAUUGUUCUUCACUUUCAAUUGCCUGACAGGAGCUGAUCUUCUUCAUUCAUUCAUUUAUCUCUAUUGAAAUUUUCCUCCAAAAAAAAUCAAUUGAGGUGUUGAGCCAAGAACAACUACUUUUGAAGAAGAAGAGAAUGAUGUAAAUGUUGAUUUAGUUAUAAGUCAAAGUUAAAGUCAAAUUCAUCAUGAUCAGUGAUUUUUGUAAUUAUUACUCUCAUUUGUUUUUAUACUCUUAUGAUGGUCAUUAUUAGUCAUUUAGUGUUUAUUUGGAAAGAUUUAUGUGACGUUAUUCAUUUGGGAUGUUAUGUUGAUUUUGAGAGUUGGUGAUCAUUUCU
Molecule: long non-coding RNA, 478 nt
Organism: Amaranthus tricolor (Joseph's coat)
Lineage: Eukaryota; Viridiplantae; Streptophyta; Magnoliopsida; Caryophyllales; Amaranthaceae
Exons: 3
Source: RefSeq, a predicted model, not a curated record